UCUUCCCGCGUGGAGAGGCCUGGCUGAGACAGAGGGAGGGUUGCCUGUGGUGGGAGCACACUUGAUUGGCCCUGUGUCACCAGGGUCACACUACACCCACUCCUCCUCAAGCAGGACUCCUCUCCUGUAGAUGUGACUGUCAGAGAUGUGGUCAGGCAAACAAGUCCGGCCUCCUAUUGUCCACCUACAUCAGAAGCUGCACCACCUGUUGCUUCGGUCAUCACAUCAGUCUCACGGCCACCGGCCAGGGGACCAGCAUGUUAUCAUUACAAUCAAUACUGACAGGAUUCAUUACCAGGGAUUGUCUUACAGUAAUCUCCCACUUCAAGUGUUGUCAGUCUUCAUUAACAUGUCUGCUUAUUAGGAUAAUAUAUUCAGUGUUCAUGCUUCGCUGGUCAUAGGAAACAAGAACCAAUUACCGUGUCACGUGGGAUGAUAAUUUCAGAAGUCACCCUUCGACACAGAUGACAGACGCCGCUGGAUUCAGCUACAAAGGUGACUUCAUCAAACGGAGGCGGUCCCAUUGACAUCAACUUGGCAACAAUAUGAAGACAACAGUCCGAGGAGUCCCUGAAGAGUGUCUACAUGCAAUGCUGGAGCCACAGAGACAGAGAUGGAUCUUAAGCAUAGAGGGGGAGCCAAGCCAUAGACGUAGCUCCCAGGCAAACAGAGGAAUCGGAGGGGCCAGAUCCUUGAACAUCCAUCACUAACUACAUCCUGUUUGGAUGCAGUAGAACAAGGUAAAUGCAGCAUAUCCACCGAUCCUCAACAACCAGCUUAGCCGUGACUGGAGUGUCUUUCAGACUUCAUUUAUCUCACCAGCUGUUUCAAAGUGUAUCAUGAGCAAAAGCUUAGAUCUGCCAUAUUGAUAUCUCCAACCAUGCUAGCUGAUGAAAGCACAGAAAAAAGACAGACUCAUAAUGAUUAUGAUAUGACUUGAAUCGAGCUCACUGAUUUAUAUUUAAAAAGGGUUAUAAAAAAUGUAACACUUGAUUUAGUGCUGGUCCGUAGGUGUUAUUUUUUCCCAAGAUCAACAAUUAUAACUUUCUGAAAGCACGACCAGGGGAAGGAGGCCACUUACAGGAAUGUAUUCACAACAGUAUCUCAUUCAAUGACAGUAUAAACCUCUCGUCAUUAACAGAUCAAGCAUUGUAUAAAUACUUGGCACCAUGCCAAGGUCUAUACAAUACUACCAAAUAAGGCUGUUGAAAACAGGUCACAUGACCAGCUGGCAGUGAUCAAUCUCCCGUGUCACAUCUUACUCGUACACGCUUACCGCAGGUGCCCUCCACCCCGUGAUCUCUUCAUGUGACCCAGUGCCUUCCCUCGUAACUCAUGUUUAUUUAGAAUGAUUCAAAUUGUCAAAAACAGCCAUAAAGCUCCAGGCGGAAUACUUACUUGCAUAGAUCGGAGAGAUACUUAAACAGUUGAGAAGGCUUUGAGUUAAGCUUGGCAUGAUUACAGACGAUUGGUUGACUUUCACACCCAGGAAUUCCUCACACAGCAAUAAUACACACCAGUCACAACUGGCAUUUCACAAACAACCAACAAUACAACUCACAGAGAGUUCAAGCCAAAUCAAAAAGAUCAAAGAACACCUUUCAGUGCAUUUUCAAAUCCCAUAAAUUAAUAGGAGUGAGUGAGUGAGUGAGUGAGUUGAGUUGAGUUUUACACUGUUUUUAGCAAUAUUCCUGCAAUUUCACAACAGAGAUUGGCAUCAGACAUUGAACCCAUGUGGGUAAUCAAACCCUGGCCUUUCGUGUGACAAGCAAAAGCUUUAACCACUAGGCUUAACCCACCACCCCCAUAAAACCAUGAUAGCAUUAAACCUGGAUUCUCUCAAUGACAUGACCCGUUAAGCCAGGAUUCUCUCAAUGACAUGACCCGUUAAACCAGACUUCUUGAACAAUUUGGAGGACAAGGCAAGCAGAGUUGCCUCCCUUACAGGCAGUGGUUGAAGCACUGCCCCAGUGUAUUUACAAGUCACAGCCAUUCACAAUAUCAAGGACAGAUCACACGGGUGUGUGGUACAGUUAGAAAAUAUAAAACACUGGCCAGUACUUCCUUGAUCAGGAAGCCGGUGAUGUUGUGUUGACGGAGAACAUGCUACUUGUCACGAGGUUGGUUAAUUGGAGUCACACCCAACAAAACCACAGUGACGUAGUUUAACUUCCAAACCAACCAAGGCCAGACGCCAUGAGGAACCAAACCACACACAUGCAAGUGGUUCCCUACAUUGUGUAUAAAUCAGGGGAUGAGAUGUCAUAUUUUGUGGGUUGUGUUUUUUCCAAUUAUAUUGCCUUUUGAGCCACAUUGAGCACACUGAUUGAUAUGCUGUAAGGGCUCCUUAUCAAGCUUAUGCAUGCGAUUACAUUGCUAAAUCAAGUUUCACAUACAGUUCCAAAUCUGCAAUGCAACAUUUGGUAAUGUGACAAACGUGACAAACACAACAAAUCACAACAACAAAACAUCUCAUAAAAUGAAGGAUUCUUGGAUCAUUACACCAGCACAUGAACAUAAUGAAGGCAAUUUCUGGUUGAAAGAUGACAAUGACCCUCGGUCCUGACACACAUGAAACUGAAUCCUGACCAGGUAACUUUUAGUCUGAAAACCAGCAGUUUAUUUUUUAGUCAAACCAUCAGUUAUACAUGUUUCACAGAACAAACAGGUCAUUUUCCUGUCGAAAACGGCAUGUGAAACUCUCCACCAGUCUCUCAGUUUCAGUAUGAGUCAGAGCUGAACACUCACAGGACAUUACACAAUACGUCACCAUUUGUUUUCCAAACCCUUAUAGUAUCUUUUUUAAAAAUUAUUUUUAUUCACAUGUUACUCAAACACAGUAUACAAGUGCACAUGGUCAGCGACAACUGGUGUUCCAAAUGAUACAUAAAACAAGGAAUAAAUGUGCAGGUCAGUUAAUAACCUGUCAAGAUAGUGAUAUUGUUUCUUUGUAUAUUCUUUGCAUAUUUAUAUACUAUCAGUAAUAUAGUUUUCUACCAACAACUUAAUACAUGUAGUUGCAUAAUGAGACAUAUAUAAAAUAUUUUACAUGAAGGUUCAGCAAUUCAAAUACAGGAUCAGUAUUAUCUUUUGAAUCAUACAAUAAUGAAUUGAUUGAAAGAGGUAGUGUUGCAUACUCAUUAAGGAAUAUUUCAUAAUUCUCCAUCAUCAAUAUGUCACCAUGAAUCACUGACAGACAAGUGAUGUUCUUCUAACAUCAUCCUUAUUUCCAUACUGAUCACUAGUUGCAGAUCCUGUUGCCAUGGUAUCGGUGUCAGGUAGAUAAUAUCUGUUAUCAUAGAAGUGAUCAGGACAGAAGAAAUGGAAUAUCACUGUAGUGCCAUCACAAAUCUAUUUGUGUUAGUUAGUUAUGGUCAGUUUGGUCUUGUUUUCACAUAGUGAGGAUCUUCUAUUGCAUGAUGUUACUUUCUAUUCAGCAAAUACUUCUAAUGAACACCUUUUCAUGGUACUGUGUUUAGGUAUGUAACGCUUGCCCUGGUAUGACAACAGUGUUCAAAUAAGCAGUAUAUGUCCUGCAAAGACAACAGUGUUCAGGUAAGUAGCAUAUUUUCCUAUAAUAACAACAGCACUUAGGUAAGUAGCAUAUUUUCCUAUAAUGACAACAGCACUUAGGUAAGUAGCAUAUUUUCCUAUAAUGACAACAGUACUUAGGUAAGUAGCAUAUUGUCCUGAAGUGACAAAAGUGUUCAGGUAAAUAGUAUACAUCCUGUAACAAUGAAUGGUACUCACGCUGCAAGUUCUGUAUGGCCAUCUGUAUCCCCUUUCCUGGCAUGCCACGCCCAUCCAAAGGAAGACUGGACCCCAGGCGGCCUGGGGCAGGGGACUGGCCCCGGGGUGACAUCCCGGGGCUGGGACUGCCACUGCGGGGGCUGAAGUUGCCAGUGAGGGAAGAGUAGGAGCUGGCAGGGCUCAUGCCACGCCCCUUUUUGUCCGCCAUCUUGUUGUUGUCAGUGAGAGUUGUGGAGAUAUGUACACAUGGUCGUCCUGUCUUGUGCUACUCUACGUGGCUGAAACAAACAGACUCACGUCACAACCAGAUGCCAGGAUUCACAUGCUUUUCAGGGAGAGUGAGUGAGUGAGUGAGUGACAUUGGUUUUACGCCGCUUUUAGCAAUAUUCCAGCAAUAUCACGACGGGGGACACACAUUGUACCCAUGUCGGGAAUCGACCCUGGGUCUUCGGCUUGACGAGCAAACGCUUUAACCACUAGGCUACCCGACCGCCCCUUUUGCAGGGAGAAGGAAAUACAAAACCAGUCAUGGUUAACUGACAUACAACAUUCUACCCUGGCGUUGCCAGUCGGGUACGUCUUGUACUCCCCUCCCCUGCAGCUGCGUUGUUAUGAUGUACAACAACACGAAAGAGCAAAUUGAUUGACAACAGCUAGUUUGAAUACCAUUAUUUUAUAAAUAUUCAAUGCACUAACACUUGCUAAACUAGAACUAACUUCCUGAAACUGACAACUGUAUGCAAUAGUGAGCAUGUUCUGUACCGUGACAGGCACACCAUGCCCUCCAUACAUUGUCAGAUCACAACUUGGAAGUGGCAAGUUUGCGUUACCUCAGCUAUAUAUUUACAUCUUAUUCAUGUUGAUUAACCUGCCAUAAAUAAUAAAACAAUGGCCAUGAUUGGAUAAUGUUUUGUUUUAUUGUAUACAUGGUAUGUCAUAACACCAGGUGUCUAUGUUCUAUCACUCUGGAUCCAGUAUUUCCAAGUCACACUAACUAUUGACAUCAGAGAAAGAUGACAAGGAAGUCGAAGAGUGCAACAAAGUCACGCAUGGAAGUAAAAGCCAUGCAAGGAGACUGACAAUCAAGGUGGGAAUGAGAGACAACAUUUAUUUCAGCCACAUGACUACCUAUAUCCACGUACAAUACAGACAUGCUAUUUGUGGUGCAACGUACACAGCACUUCCUGACUGGACAACAGAGCAUUGUGUAACCUGUCUCUCGUCCCUUGAUCAUGCUGGCAACAACGACAGCUAACACAAAGUGGUUAGUUCCAAAGCUGCUGAGAAUAGUAUCCAACACUGCUACCCAUCAAGGUUGUUUUACUUACAUAUAUAUAUGUAUAGUGUUGGGUCUGGCUGGCUAAAAAGUCGAUAAUCGAAAUUAUCAUCAAUGGGAAGAAAUAUCAACGAUUAUCGUAUGAAACUGCUGUCAUCGAUAAUAACUCAUAUAAACUACUGCGAUGAAAAAUAAAGUUUAGAUUUACCAAAA
Molecule: long non-coding RNA, 5239 nt
Organism: Haliotis rufescens (red abalone)
Lineage: Eukaryota; Metazoa; Mollusca; Gastropoda; Lepetellida; Haliotidae
Exons: 2
Source: RefSeq, a predicted model, not a curated record